Molecule: ribosomal RNA, 459 nt
Filed under: uncultured bacterium
Lineage: Bacteria
Description: partial 16S ribosomal RNA
Rfam family: Bacterial small subunit ribosomal RNA
Source: RNAcentral
CCUACGGGGGGCAGCGGUGAGGAAUAUUGGUCAAUGGCCGGAAGGCUGAACCAGCCAAGCCGCGUGAAGGACGAAGGUGCCAAGCAUUGUAAACUUCUUUUGUCAAGGGACAAAAUCAGGCUCGAGAGCCUGACCGAGGGUACUUGAAGAAAAAGCAUCGGCAAACUCCGUGCCAGCAGCCGCGGUAAUACGGAGGAGGCGAGCGUUAUCCGGAUUGAUUGGGUUAAAAGGUGGGGUAGGCGGACUGUUAAGUUCGUGGUAAAAGCCCGGGGCUCAACCCCGGCGAGCCGUUGAAACUGGCUGUCUUGAGAUGUCGAGAGGUAUGCGGAAUGCGCGGUGUAGCGGUGAAAUGCUUAGAUAUUGCGCAGAACUCCGAUUGCGAAGGCAGCAUACCGGCGGCGAUCUGACGCUGAGGCACGAAAGCGUGGGUAUCGAACAGGAUUAGAUACCCGAGUAGUC